Molecule: microRNA precursor, 63 nt
Filed under: Mus musculus (house mouse)
Lineage: Eukaryota; Metazoa; Chordata; Mammalia; Rodentia; Muridae
Description: Mmu-Mir-34-P3a_pre stem-loop
Source: RNAcentral
AGGCAGUGCAUUGCUAGCUGGCUGUUAGAACUUUAUCCCAACAGUUGCUAGCUGCACUACCCU